RNAcentral lists this ribosomal RNA (835 nucleotides) under uncultured bacterium. RNAcentral describes it as "bacterial SSU rRNA". It matches the Rfam family "Bacterial small subunit ribosomal RNA", at positions 613 to 1449 of the family's 1533-position model. The record is from RNAcentral.
CCUGGGAACUGCGUUNUGAACUGGGUAGCUAGAGUAUGUCAGAGGGGGGUAGAAUNCCACGUGUAGCAGUGAAAUGCGUAGAGAUGUGGAGGAAUACCGAUGGCGAAGGCAGCCCCCUGGGAUAAUACUGACGUUCAUGCUNGAAAGCGUGGGUAGCAAACAGGAUUAGAUACCCUGGUAGUCCACGCCCUAAACGAUGUCGAUUAGCUGUUGGGCAGCUUGACUGCUUAGUAGCGUAGCUAACGCGUGAAAUCGACCGCCUGGGGAGUACGGUCGCAAGAUUAAAACUCAAAGGAAUUGACGGGGACCCGCACAAGCGGUGGAUGAUGUGGAUUAAUUCGAUGCAACGCGAAGAACCUUACCUGGUCUUGACAUGUACGGAAGAACUCAGAGACGAGUUUGUGCCUUCGGGAGCCGUAACACAGGUGCUGCAUGGCUGUCGUCAGCUCGUGUCGUGAGAUGUUGGGUUAAGUCCCGCAACGAGCGCAACCCUUGUCAUUAGUUGCCAUCAUUUAGUUGGGCACUCUAAUGAGACUGCCGGUGACAAACCGGAGGAAGGUGGGGAUGACGUCAAGUCCUCAUGGCCCUUAUGACCAGGGCUUCACACGUCAUACAAUGGUCGGUACAGAGGGUAGCCAAGCCGCGAGGUGGAGCCAAUCCCAGAAAACCGAUCGUAGUCCGGAUUGCACUCUGCAACUCGAGUGCAUGAAGUCGGAAUCGCUAGUAAUCGCAGGUCAGCAUACUGCGGUGAAUACGUUCCCGGGUCUUGUACACACCGCCCGUCACACCAUGGGAGUGGGGGAUACCAGAAGUAGGUAGGGUAACCGCAAGGAGC